Molecule: ribosomal RNA, 433 nt
Filed under: uncultured bacterium
Lineage: Bacteria
Description: partial 16S ribosomal RNA
Rfam family: Bacterial small subunit ribosomal RNA
Source: RNAcentral
AACGAACGCUAGCGGCAUGCCUAACACAUGCAAGUCGAACGAGACCUUCGGGUCUAGUGGCGCACGGGUGCGUAACGCGUGGGAACCUGCCCUUAGGUUCGGAAUAACUCCCCGACAGGGGUGCUAAUACCGGAUAAUGUCUUCGGACCAAAGAUUUAUCGCCUUUGGAUGGGCCCGCGUUGGAUUAGCUUGUUGGUAGGGUAAAAGCCUACCAAGGCGACGAUCCAUAGCUGGUCUGAGAGGAUGAUCAGCCACACUGGGACUGGGACCCGGCCCAGACUCCUACGGGAGGCAGCAGUGGGGAAUAGUGGACAAUGGGGGAAAGCCUGAUCCAGCAAUGCCGGGUGAGUGAUGAAGGCCUGAGGGUUGUAAAGCUCUUUUACCCGGGAUGAUAAUGACAGUACCGGGAGAAUAAGCUCCGGCUAACUCCGUG